CCAUCCUCCAAGGCUAAAUACUCCUGACUGACCGAUAGUGAACCAGUACCGUGAGGGAAAGGCGAAAAGAACCCCGGCGAGGGGAGUGAAAAAGAACCUGAAACCGUGUACGUACAAGCAGUGGGAGCACGCUUAGGCGUGUGACUGCGUACCUUUUGUAUAAUGGGUCAGCGACUUAUAUUCUGUAGCAAGGUUAACCGAAUAGGGGAGCCGAAGGGAAACCGAGUCUUAACUGGGCGUUAAGUUGCAGGGUAUAGACCCGAAACCCGGUGAUCUAGCCAUGGGCAGGUUGAAGGUUGGGUAACACUAACUGGAGGACCGAACCGACUAAUGUUGAAAAAUUAGCGGAUGACUUGUGGCUGGGGGUGAAAGGCCAAUCAAACCGGGAGAUAGCUGGUUCUCCCCGAAAGCUAUUUAGGUAGCGCCUCGUGAAUUCAUCUCCGGGGGUAGAGCACUGUUUCGGCAAGGGGGUCAUCCCGACUUACCAACCCGAUGCAAACUGCGAAUACCGGAGAAUGUUAUCACGGGAGACACACGGCGGGUGCUAACGUCCGUCGUGAAGAGGGAAACAACCCAGACCGCCAGCUAAGGUCCCAAAGUCAUGGUUAAGUGGGAAACGAUGUGGGAAGGCCCAGACAGCCAGGAUGUUGGCUUAGAAGCAGCCAUCAUUUAAAGAAAGCGUAAUAGCUCACUGGUCGAGUCGGCCUGCGCGGAAGAUGUAACGGGGCUAAACCAUGCACCGAAGCUGCGGCAGCGACGCUUAUGCGUUGUUGGGUAGGGGAGCGUUCUGUAAGCCUGCGAAGGUGUGCUGUGAGGCAUGCUGGAGGUAUCAGAAGUGCGAAUGCUGACAUAAGUAACGAUAAAGCGGGUGAAAAGCCCGCUCGCCGGAAGACCAAGGGUUCCUGUCCAACGUUAAUCGGGGCAGGGUGAGUCGACCCCUAAGGCGAGGCCGAAAGGCGUAGUCGAUGGGAAACAGGUUAAUAUUCCUGUACUUGGUGUUACUGCGAAGGGGGGACGGAGAAGGCUAUGUUGGCCGGGCGACGGUUGUCCCGGUUUAAGCGUGUAGGCUGGUUUUCCAGGCAAAUCCGGAAAAUCAAGGCUGAGGCGUGAUGACGAGGCACUACGGUGCUGAAGCAACAAAUGCCCUGCUUCCAGGAAAAGCCUCUAAGCAUCAGGUAACAUCAAAUCGUACCCCAAACCGACACAGGUGGUCAGGUAGAGAAUACCAAGGCGCUUGAGAGAACUCGGGUGAAGGAACUAGGCAAAAUGGUGCCGUAACUUCGGGAGAAGGCACGCUGAUAUGUAGGUGAAGUCCCUUGCGGAUGGAGCUGAAAUCAGUCGAAGAUACCAGCUGGCUGCAACUGUUUAUUAAAAACACAGCACUGUGCAAACACGAAAGUGGACGUAUACGGUGUGACGCCUGCCCGGUGCCGGAAGGUUAAUUGAUGGGGUCAGCGCAAGCGAAGCUCUUGAUCGAAGCCCCGGUAAACGGCGGCCGUAACUAUAACGGUCCUAAGGUAGCGAAAUUCCUUGUCGGGUAAGUUCCGACCUGCACGAAUGGCGUAAUGAUGGCCAGGCUGUCUCCACCCGAGACUCAGUGAAAUUGAACUCGCUGUGAAGAUGCAGUGUACCCGCGGCAAGACGGAAAGACCCCGUGAACCUUUACUAUAGCUUGACACUGAACAUUGAGCCUUGAUGUGUAGGAUAGGUGGGAGGCUUUGAAGUGUGGACGCCAGUCUGCAUGGAGCCGGCCUUGAAAUACCACCCUUUAAUGUUUGAUGUUCUAACGUGGACCCGUGAUCCGGGUUGCGGACAGUGUCUGGUGGGUAGUUUGACUGGGGCGGUCUCCUCCUAAAGAGUAACGGAGGAGCACGAAGGUUGGCUAAUCCUGGUCGGACAUCAGGAGGUUAGUGCAAUGGCAUAAGCCAGCUUGACUGCGAGCGUGACGGCGCGAGCAGGUGCGAAAGCAGGUCAUAGUGAUCCGGUGGUUCUGAAUGGAAGGGCCAUCGCUCAACGGAUAAAAGGUACUCCGGGGAUAACAGGCUGAUACCGCCCAAGAGUUCAUAUCGACGGCGGUGUUUGGC
This 2084-nucleotide ribosomal RNA is filed under the name Shigella sonnei. RNAcentral's name for it is "bacterial LSU rRNA". It matches the Rfam family "Bacterial large subunit ribosomal RNA", at positions 453 to 2522 of the family's 2925-position model. The record is from RNAcentral. Lineage: Bacteria; Pseudomonadati; Pseudomonadota; Gammaproteobacteria; Enterobacterales; Enterobacteriaceae.